GACGAACGCUGGCGGCGUGCUUAACACAUGCAAGUCGAACGGUGAAGCGCCUUCCUUUUUGGUGGGUGUGGAUGAGUGGCGAACGGGUGAGUAACACGUGAGUAACCUGCCCCCUUCUUCUGGAUAACCGCAUGAAAGUGUGGCUAAUACGGGAUAUUCUGGGUCUGUCGCAUGAUGGGUCUGGGAAAGAUAUUGUUUCGGUGGGGGUUGGGCUCGCGGCCUAUCAGCUUGUUGGUGGGGUGAUGGCCUACCAAGGCGGUGACGGGUAGCCGGCCUGAGAGGGUGGACGGUCACACGGGGACUGAGACACGGCCCAGACUCCUACGGGAGGCAGCAGUGGGGAAUAUUGCACAAUGGGCGCAAGCCUGAUGCAGCGACGCCGCGUGAGGGAUGGAGGCCUGCGGGUUGUGAACCUCUUUCGCCAGUGAAGCAGGCCUGCCUCGUUUGUGGGUGGGUUGACGGUAGCUGGAUAAGAAGCGCCGGCUAACUACGUG
Molecule: ribosomal RNA, 494 nt
Filed under: uncultured bacterium
Lineage: Bacteria
Description: partial 16S ribosomal RNA
Rfam family: Bacterial small subunit ribosomal RNA
Source: RNAcentral